Panthera uncia (snow leopard) is the source of this 747-nucleotide long non-coding RNA. RefSeq lists it as uncharacterized. The record is from RefSeq and is a predicted model, not a curated record. The transcript is spliced from 3 exons. Lineage: Eukaryota; Metazoa; Chordata; Mammalia; Carnivora; Felidae.
UCACCCCAUCUCAACAUCCCUUCCAGUUUUUGGAAAAUUCCCUAUUCUGAAAUUCUUGGUGAGGAGCAAGCUUUUGCCAUCCAUCACAGCAGAUGGAAGAGCCAUUUAUUCUUCCUCACCAAACACUGAGCUCUAAAGCUUUAACAUGUGACUUACUGGAUAGUCCUGCCUGGAACUCUGAAUCGUGAGGAAAUCACAAAAUCACAAAUACCAUCAGGAAGUUGUCUACAGUGGUGCCAAUGGGUCAAGAGUCCCAUGGCAGUGGUCCAGUGCCCAGGGUUGCAGGUGUCAUUGGGGGGACAAUGGAGGCAGCAGCCUCUGGCUGUUAACUCUUUUUUUUUCUACUCACAGUCUGAGCCUGUGUCUCCAGAAUUCAGAAAAUAAUAUGCACUUAUUGAUAAACUUACAGCAGCCAGCAGCCCUAUAUACAAUGAAACUCCACCAGGACAGGAGUUUGGGUGUGUUUUGUUCACUGAUGGAUCCCAAGUACAUGAAGAAGCUCAGGUCAUGAUCUCACUGUUGGAUCAAGCCCCGGGUCCGGCUCUGCGACGACAGUGCGGAUCUUGCUUGGGAUCCUCUCUCUCCCUCUCUUUGCUCCUCUCCCUCCUUCUACCCCGCCUGCCUCUCAAAAAUAAAGAAAUAAACAUUAAAAGAAUAACAGGGAUGUCUAAAAUGUCAUUUUAAGUUGUUUUCGAAGUCCUACAGUGAUAGCACACACAACACACAAGAAGCCUGCUACACACAACA